RNAcentral lists this ribosomal RNA (492 nucleotides) under uncultured bacterium. Its description in RNAcentral is "partial 16S ribosomal RNA". It matches the Rfam family "Bacterial small subunit ribosomal RNA", at positions 29 to 507 of the family's 1533-position model. The record is from RNAcentral.
AGUGAACGCUGGCGGUAGGCCUAACACAUGCAAGUCGAACGGCAGCACAGUAAGAGCUUGCUCUUACGGGUGGCGAGUGGCGGACGGGUGAGGAAUACAUCGGAAUCUACUUUUUCGUGGGGGAUAACGCAGGGAAACUUACGCUAAUACCGCAUACGACCUACGGGUGAAAGCAGGGGAUCUUCGGACCUUGCGCGAUUGGAUGAGCCGAUGUCGGAUUAGCUAGUUGGCGGGGUAAAGGCCCACCAAGGCGACGAUCCGUAGCUGGUCUGAGAGGAUGAUCAGCCACACUGGAACUGAGACACGGUCCAGACUCCUACGGGAGGCAGCAGUGGGGAAUAUUGGACAAUGGGCGCAAGCCUGAUCCAGCCAUACCGCGUGGGUGAAGAAGGCCUUCGGGUUGUAAAGCCCUUUUGUUGGGAAAGAAAAGCAGCAGGUUAAUACCCCGCUGUUCUGACGGUACCCAAAGAAUAAGCACCGGCUAACUUCGUG